This 391-nucleotide ribosomal RNA is filed under the name uncultured bacterium. RNAcentral's name for it is "partial 16S ribosomal RNA". It matches the Rfam family "Bacterial small subunit ribosomal RNA", at positions 523 to 917 of the family's 1533-position model. The record is from RNAcentral.
AUACGGAGGAUCCGAGCGUUAUCCGGAUUUAUUGGGUUUAAAGGGUGCGCAGGCGGCCAUUUAAGUCAGCGGUUAAAUCGUGGGGCUCAACCCCAUUCUGCCGUUGAUACUGGGUGGCUUGAUUGCGGUCGAGGUUGGCGGAAUUCGUUGUGUAGCGGUGAAAUGCAUAGAUAUGACGAAGAACACCGAUUGCGUAGGCAGCUGACCAGACCGCAAAUGACGCUCAUGCACGAAAGUGCUGGGAUAGAACAGGAUUAGAUACCCUGGUAGUCUGCACAGUAAACGAUGAAUACUUGUUUUCGGCGAUAUAAUGUCGGAGUCGAAGCGAAAGCGAUAAGUAUUCCACCUGGGGAGUACGCCGGCAACGGUGAAACUCAAAUGAAUUGGCGGG